UGGUAAAAAGGUAGCCCCUCCCCCAAAAACAACAAACCACUAUCAAUACCCCCAAAUACACCACCAAACUUAAUAAACCAAACCAUUUUUCCCUCCCAGUAUAGGCGAUAGAAAAGAGACACCAGGCGCAACAGAGAAAGUACCGCAAGGGAACGCUGAAAAAGUAAUGAAACAACCCAGUAAAGCUUUAAAAAGCAGAGAUUCAAACUCGUACCUUUUGCAUCAUGAUUUAGCCAGCAAGCCCCAAGCAAAGAGCACUUUAGUUUGACACCCCGAAACUACGUGAGCUACUCCAAGACAGCCUACACAAUAGGGCGAACCCGUCUCUGUGGCAAUAGAGUGGGAAGAGCUUCGAGUAGAGGUGACAAGCCUACCGAACCUAGUUAUAGCUGGUUGCCUGAGAAAUGGAUAGAAGUUCAGCCUCUCGGCUUCUCCCCUCACCUAUAAUACUUUAGACAUCAAAGAAACCGAGAGCGUUAAUCAAAGGAGGGACAGCCCCUUUGAUACAAGACACAACUUUUACAGAAGACUAAAGAUCAUAUUAACAUUUAAAGGUAAGCAUGUUCUGGUUGGCUUAAAAGCAGCCCUCCCUACAGAAAGCGUUAAAGCUCGGGCAUACUACCCACCUCCUCCCUAUCUUGAUAAUUAAAUCUUAAGCCCCUACCCCUAUCAGGCCGCCCCAUGCCAACAUGGGGACGACCAUGCUAAUAUGAGUAAUAAGAGAACAUAAGACUCUCUCCUCGCACACGUGCAAAUCGGAACGGACCCCCCACCGAACUUUAACGGCCCCAACCAAAGAGGGCAUUAGAUAUACAAAUUAAACAACCAGAAAAACAUCCAAUAACUAACCGUUAACCCAACACCGGUGUGCCUUUUCUAAAGGAAAGACUAAAAGAAAGAGAAGGAACUCGGCAAAUAAAGCCUCGCCUGUUUACCAAAAACAUCGCCUCUUGCAAAAUUAACAAAUAAGAGGUCCCGCCUGCCCUGUGACUCUAUGUUUAACGGCCGCGGUAUACUGACCGUGCGAAGGUAGCGCAAUCACUUGUCUUUUAAAUGGAGACCUGUAUGAAUGGCAUAACGAGGGCUUAACUGUCUCCUCUUUCUAGUCAAUGAAAUUGAUCUCCCCGUGCAGAAGCGGGGAUAAAACCAUAAGACGAGAAGACCCUAUGGAGCUUUAGACACCAAGGCGGCCCACAGUUCAUAACACCAAAAUAAAGGACCAAACAACACAACACUCCGCCCUAAUGUCUUUGGUUGGGGCGACCGCGGGGUAGUACAAAACUCCCGCGUGGAACGAGAGGACUUCCCUCUUACAACUAAGAGCUACCGCUCUAAGAAACAGAAUUUCUGACCUAUUAGAUCCGGCCCUGCGCCGAUCAACGGAACGAGUUACCCUAGGGAUAACAGCGCAAUCCCCUUUUAGAGCCCAUAUCGACAAGGGGGUUUACGACCUCGAUGUUGGAUCAGGACAUCCUAAUGGUGCAGCCGCUAUUAAGGGUUCGUUUGUUCAACGAUUAAAGUCCUACGUGAUCUGAGUUCAGACCGGAGCAAUCCAGGUCAGCUUCUAUCUAUGACAUGAACUUUUCUAGUACGAAAGGACCGAAAAGCGGGAGCCCCUAUUCCAAACACGCCCCCCCCCCACCUAAUGAAAUCAACUAAAGCAGGUAAAAGGGCAUACCCUCUCCGCCCAAGAAAAGGACAU
Molecule: ribosomal RNA, 1702 nt
Filed under: Branchiostegus argentatus (silver horsehead)
Lineage: Eukaryota; Metazoa; Chordata; Actinopteri; Malacanthidae
Description: 16S ribosomal RNA
Rfam family: Bacterial large subunit ribosomal RNA (bases 109-1590)
Source: RNAcentral